AUACGGAGGAUCCGAGCGUUAUCCGGAUUUAUUGGGUUUAAAGGGUGCGCAGGCGGGAGAUUAAGUCGGCGGUGACAUUUUGCAGGCCCAAUGGAAAAGUGCCUUAGAAACUGGUUUUCUUGUGGGGAGAUUAAGGAGGCGGAAUUUUUGGUGUAGCGGGGAAAUGCAUAGAUAUCACGAGGAAAUCCGAUUGCGCAGGCAGCUUACUAAACUACUACUGACGCUCAGGCACGAAGGCGUGGGGAUCAAACAGGAUUAGAUACCCUGGUAGUCCACGCAGUAAACGAUGAUUACUAGCUGUUUGCGAUACAAUGUAAGCGGCUGAGCGAAAGCGUUAAGUAAUCCACCUGGGGAGUACGUUCGCAAGAAUGAAACUCAAAUGAAUUGACGGGG
RNAcentral lists this ribosomal RNA (393 nucleotides) under uncultured bacterium. Its description in RNAcentral is "partial 16S ribosomal RNA". It matches the Rfam family "Bacterial small subunit ribosomal RNA", at positions 523 to 918 of the family's 1533-position model. The record is from RNAcentral.